GCCGGGAUGGCGGAAUUGGUAUACGCGCAGGUCUCAAAAACCUGUCCCGCUCAAACGGGGUGUGGGUUCGACCCCCACUCCCGGCA
This 86-nucleotide transfer RNA is filed under the name Candidatus Roizmanbacteria bacterium RIFCSPLOWO2_01_FULL_45_11. RNAcentral describes it as "tRNA-Leu". It matches the Rfam family "tRNA". From Rfam's summary of the family: Transfer RNA (tRNA) molecules are approximately 80 nucleotides in length. Their secondary structure includes four short double-helical elements and three loops (D, anti-codon, and T loops). Lineage: Bacteria; Candidatus Roizmaniibacteriota. The record is from RNAcentral.